GGCGAACUGGUGAGUAACACGUGGGAAACCUGCCCAGAAGCGGGGGAUAACACCUGGAAACAGAUGCUAAUACCGCAUAACAACUUGGACCGCAUGGUCCGAGUUUGAAAGAUGGCUUCGGCUAUCACUUUUGGAUGGUCCCGCGGCGUAUUAGCUAGAUGGUGGGGUAACGGCUCACCAUGGCAAUGAUACGUAGCCGACCUGAGAGGGUAAUCGGCCACAUUGGGACUGAGACACGGCCCAAACUACUACGGGAGGCAGCAGUAGGGAAUCUUCCACAAUGGACGAAAGUCUGAUGGAGCAACGCCGCGUGAGUGAAGAAGGGUUUCGGCUCGUAAAACUCUGUUGUUAAAGAAGAACAUAUCUGAGAGUAACUGUUCAGGUAUUGACGGUAUUUAACCAGAAAGCCACGGCUAACUACGUGCCAGCAGCCGCGGUAAUACGUAGGUGGCAAGCGUUGUCCGGAUUUAUUGGGCGUAAAGCGAGCGCAGGCGGUUUUUUAAGUCUGAUGUGAAAGCCUUCGGCUCAACCGAAGAAGUGCAUCGGAAACUGGGAAACUUGAGUGCAGAAGAGGACAGUGGAACUCCAUGUGUAGCGGUGAAAUGCGUAGAUAUAUGGAAGAACACCAGUGGCGAAGGCGGCUGUCUGGUCUGUAACUGACGCUGAGGCUCGAAAGUAUGGGUAGCAAACAGGAUUAGAUACCCUGGUAGUCCAUACCGUAAACGAUGAAUGCUAAGUGUUGGAGGGUUUCCGCCCUUCAGUGCUGCAGCUAACGCAUUAAGCAUUCCGCCUGGGGAGUACGGCCGCAAGGCUGAAACUCAAAGGAAUUGACGGGGGCCCGCACAAGCGGUGGAGCAUGUGGUUUAAUUCGAAGCUACGCGAAGAACCUUACCAGGUCUUGACAUACUAUGCAAAUCUAAGAGAUUAGACGUUCCCUUCGGGGACAUGGAUACAGGUGGUGCAUGGUUGUCGUCAGCUCGUGUCGUGAGAUGUUGGGUUAAGUCCCGCAACGAGCGCAACCCUUAUUAUCAGUUGCCAGCAUUAAGUUGGGCACUCUGGUGAGACUGCCGGUGACAAACCGGAGGAAGGUGGGGAUGACGUCAAAUCAUCAUGCCCCUUAUGACCUGGGCUACACACGUGCUACAAUGGAUGGUACAACGAGUUGCGAACUCGCGAGAGUAAGCUAAUCUCUUAAAGCCAUUCUCAGUUCGGAUUGUAGGCUGCAACUCGCCUACAUGAAGUCGGAAUCGCUAGUAAUCGCGGAUCAGCAUGCCGCGGUGAAUACGUUCCCGGGCCUUGUACACACCGCCCGUCACACCAUGAGAGUUUGUAACACCCAAAGUCGGUGGG
RNAcentral lists this ribosomal RNA (1350 nucleotides) under Lactiplantibacillus plantarum. RNAcentral's name for it is "bacterial SSU rRNA". It matches the Rfam family "Bacterial small subunit ribosomal RNA", at positions 97 to 1434 of the family's 1533-position model. The record is from RNAcentral. Lineage: Bacteria; Bacillati; Bacillota; Bacilli; Lactobacillales; Lactobacillaceae.